Molecule: regulatory RNA element, 86 nt
Organism: Paenibacillus mucilaginosus 3016
Lineage: Bacteria; Bacillati; Bacillota; Bacilli; Caryophanales; Paenibacillaceae
Source: Rfam
AGCAUGCUGUAACCGCACGAAGCGGGUCUUUAAGUGCUGGCUCUUUGGGGCCAAGCCACCUGGCUUAGGCGAGUCUGAGACAUGGG